UACGAAGGGGGCUAGCGUUGCUCGGAAUCACUGGGCGUAAAGCGCACGUAGGCGGCUUUUUAAGUCAGGGGUGAAAUCCUGGAGCUCAACUCCAGAACUGCCUUUGAUACUGAGAAGCUUGAGUCCGGGAGAGGUGAGUGGAACUGCGAGUGUAGAGGUGAAAUUCGUAGAUAAUCGCAAGAACACCAGUGGCGAAGGCGGCUCACUGGCCCGGUACUGACGCUGAGGUGCGAAAGCGUGGGGAGCAAACAGG
Molecule: ribosomal RNA, 253 nt
Filed under: uncultured bacterium
Lineage: Bacteria
Description: partial 16S ribosomal RNA
Rfam family: Bacterial small subunit ribosomal RNA
Source: RNAcentral